RNAcentral lists this long non-coding RNA (1014 nucleotides) under Sinocyclocheilus grahami. RNAcentral describes it as "lncRNA (ENSSGRG00000018710.1)". Lineage: Eukaryota; Metazoa; Chordata; Actinopteri; Cypriniformes; Cyprinidae. The record is from RNAcentral.
GAAUAUGGGGCAGUCACUACAGGAUGUUUGGGAAAAGAGGUCAAGAGGUCAAGAGGAAAGAGGAAACAAUGGGCAAAUUCAUGAAGAGAAAGAAAGAGCAGAGCAGAUCUGUGAAGCACAGAAGCACAUUGUAAGGCAUUCCUCAGCUAAAUGUGAAAGAUUCAGAAUGUUUUGGCAAGAAAGAAACACGAGGAUUGGUAGGAGAGAUAUGGUAACUGUUAGAAAGAAAAGAAAGGAAUGGAAUGAGAAAGCAGCUCUUGAGAGCUCCCAAAAGAUAACAGCUGGUUCAUAUGACAAACUAUCCGGAUCCAGAUGUAUCUCACUCUGCUUUACUAAGUCCAGUUUACAGGGUGGGAGUUCCCAGAAUUCCAGUUAUCAUCACUAGCACUACAUGCUAGUGUGCUGAUGCUUCUUCCAGCUCACUUUUCAGAUCCCCAGUGAAGACCUUGUCUCCUAGACGGCCACCGGGAUAAGACUACAGGAAAAAGAUGAGUCCUCUGCACAAUCUGACUUUGCUGCAGCCUGGAAUUGAACUGCUGGUUUUGUCUGGCCAGAGGAGAACUGGCCCCCUGACUGAGCCUGGUUUCUCCCAAGGGUUUUCUCCAUUCUGUCACUGAUGGAGUUUUGGUUCCUUGCCGCUGUCGCCUCUGGCUUGCUUAGUUGGGGACACUUCAUUUCCAGCGAUAUCGUCGACUUGAUUGCACAGAUACAAUUUAAACUGAACUGAGCUGGAUGAUGACAUCACUGAAUUCAAUGAUGAACGGUCUUUAACUGAAAAAUGAGUGUUUACUAUUGUCACUUUGCAUUGACACACUAUUUUCCUAUUCAAUACUGUAAAGUUGAUUUGGCACAAUCUGUAUUGUUAAAAGCGCUAUAUAAAUAAAGGUGACUUGACUUUACUUUAGAACAGUUGAAUACCUCACAAGGCCUCUCUUAGUGUGAUACUCCCAGAGUUUAGUGCAAUAUCUUAUAAAUUAAUAUUACACAUAAUAUUGUCUCCAACUACAAACCCAU